RNAcentral lists this ribosomal RNA (491 nucleotides) under uncultured bacterium. RNAcentral describes it as "bacterial SSU rRNA". It matches the Rfam family "Bacterial small subunit ribosomal RNA", at positions 28 to 507 of the family's 1533-position model. The record is from RNAcentral.
GACGAACGCUGGCGGCGUGCUUAACACAUGCAAGUCGAACGAGAAAACCCUUCGGGGUGAGUACAGUGGCGAACGGGUGAGUAACACGUGGGCAACCUGCCCCAGAGAGCGGGACAACCCGGGGAAACCCGGGCUAAUACCGCAUGAUGCGUCUCCGCAUAAGCGGAGCCGCCAAAAGGUAGCUUCGGCCUCCGCUCUGGGAUGGGCCCGCGCCGGAUUAGCUAGUUGGUUGGGGUAAUGGCCCACCAAGGCGACGAUCCGUAGCUGGUCUGAGAGGACGAUCAGCCACACUGGGACUGAGACACGGCCCAGACUCCUACGGGAGGCAGCAGUGGGGAAUCUUGCGCAAUGGGCGAAAGCCUGACGCAGCAACGCCGCGUGGGGGAAGAAGGCCUUCGGGUUGUAAACCUCUUUCAGUAGGGACGAAGCUUCCGGGGUUAAUAGCCUACGGGGUGACGGUACCUACAGAAGAAGCCCCGGCUAACUACGUG